Molecule: non-coding RNA, 24 nt
Filed under: Arabidopsis thaliana (thale cress)
Lineage: Eukaryota; Viridiplantae; Streptophyta; Magnoliopsida; Brassicales; Brassicaceae
Source: RNAcentral
AGCCAUGAGUGUAGUGCCAUCAUA